CUUUGUCCUCUGCAGGGACAGCAGAAUGUCUUCCAGCCAAGACACCCUGGUGGUCUGUGAGGCCGUAGUCCACAGAGAAUCUGCCCGGAACCGACUGAUGGAGCCGCCGGUAGAUUGUUGCCUUUGACGACUGUAUGCAGCAAAGACCUGUUAUGUGUGACCAGGAAAAGCCUUAUGUAGAGGGCUUUGGAGAAAACAAUCAGCCGCGAUUGCUUACCGUUACAAGAACCUGAGACCGCAACACCAGCUGGGACAACCAGAGCCUGACCAAAAAAUCAAGGGAAAGAUGUGUGGAUUGGGAUGUCCACAGAGAGCUUUGAAAAGUUGUGGCUCUUGGUAUUAAUAAAUAAUUCCAGUGGCGUUAUGGCAUACAAGUUAUACUGGCAAAAAUCAAUUGUAU
Mustela erminea (ermine) is the source of this 400-nucleotide long non-coding RNA. RefSeq lists it as uncharacterized. The transcript has 3 exons. NCBI's taxonomy places the organism in Eukaryota, Metazoa, Chordata, Mammalia, Carnivora, Mustelidae. The record is from RefSeq and is a predicted model, not a curated record.